RNAcentral lists this ribosomal RNA (11367 nucleotides) under Trentepohlia odorata. RNAcentral describes it as "23S ribosomal RNA". The stretch from base 7976 to 8438 matches the Rfam family "Bacterial large subunit ribosomal RNA", at positions 2049 to 2651 of the family's 2925-position model. The record is from RNAcentral. Lineage: Eukaryota; Viridiplantae; Chlorophyta; Ulvophyceae; Trentepohliales; Trentepohliaceae.
GGGCUGAGGAAUAUAAUAAUAUGGGGGGCAAAGAUUCGGGACCAUAUAAUACCAUAAGAACUGGCAAGUUCUAAAAAAAGUAAAUGAAAAAUAUCCUGGAAAAUCAAAAGGGCAAUAGACGUUGACAUAAAUAAACGGUUUUUAUAAUUAAAAAAGACUCCUAUGUACCAUGAAUACUAAGGACCCUUAUAGUUCCACUUUAGAUGACACCAAAGCCUUUCUUUAUAUUUGGAUAUAUAAAAAAUAUUUGGAUAUAUAAAAAAUAUAUCCAAAGCGGGCACGACGCAAAAGUCUAAAAAAGUUCGGAUCUAUAAAGGGUCUCAGAAGACUGGGAGGAGUAAAAAAAGGUAAAAUUAAAAAAAGAAGGCUUAUCACGGAUCUCUAGGCACUCAAAGGCGAUGAAGGGCGUUUAGACCAACGAAAAUGCUUUGUGGAGUAGGCUAAAAAUGCUAGGAUACAAAGAUUCCCGAAUAGGGCAACCUAAUAAACUCUCUUGAGAAUUCAUAAUCAAGACAAGAGCUAACGCACUGAACUGAAACCUCUUAGUAAGUGUAGGAAAAGAAAACAAAAGUGAUUUUUUGAGUAGCGGCGAGCGAAAAAAAAACAGCCUAAACCGAUCUAUAAAUAUCGACAUUAAAGACGAUUUGAAAAAAAAAGCCGUAUUGCAAUUUUAAUUUGUCUAUAUAAAAAAGACAACGUAAGGGCUGCAAAAGGUAAAAAUAGACGGGGUAGUUGGGAUUAGAGAAAAUGAGCAGAAGAAAGACUAGGUUAUUAUUCCACGUGGAAUAAUAAGUCCACGUGGAAUAAGAACGGAAAGAAUUUUGAAUUUUAAAUGAAAUGAAUGAAAAUACAUACCAUAGAUGGUGAUAAGUCCAGUAAUUUAAACAUGCUAAAAAACUAGCGGCCAAAACUUUGUUCUUUGAACAAUCAUGUGGCCGCGACAUGUAUACUAGCAUUUCUGUAAUUCCCGAGUAGCAUGAGACACGUGAAAUCUCGUGUGAAUCAGCGAGGACCACCUCGUAAGGCUAAAUACUCUUGAGUGACCGAUAGCGAAAUAGUACCGUGAGGGAAAGAUGAAAAGCACACCUGAAAAGGAUGAUAUGAAAUAGAACGUGAAAUGGUAAGCUGAUAAGCAGUGGGAGGAAAAAGGAGUAUAAUAUUUCUGACCGCGUGCCUGUUGAAGAAUGUGUCGGCGAGUUCAAUAAAGUGGCUUUUGAUUCAAGUCGAAGCGAAAGCGAGUUUUAAAAAAAAAGCAUAUCUAUGUCACUUUAUUGAGACCCGAACCUGCCUGAUCUAAUCAAGGCCAGGAGGAAUCGCUGGUAAUACAGCUGAGGAAGUCCGAACCGACCAAUGUUGAAAAAUUGCCGGAUGAGCCUUGAUUUGCGAGUUUCUGAAAAAGUAGCUCCUUUUAAAAAAAUUUUAAAAGUACAAAUUAAAAUAAUUGCAAAAACAUUACUCACCCGCUUUGCAAUAUAUCAUAUAAAAGAAUAUGGAAAUUUAGCGGCGCAAAAUAAUAAAUAUUAUUUUCAAGUAAAAAAAUUUGCAGCCCAUGGCCCCUGCGUCUCAACGACGCGGGAGCCGUAGGUUCAGAGAUUAUUAAAUUUUAACAUGUAGCAAUUAUUUUUAUGGUUUUGUGUCGGUUGUAUUCAAAUUCAUUUAAAUACGACAUAAACCUAUAUAUUUAAGAUUGACUUACAUGAUGAAAUAAUCUUGCAAAAACAUUACUCACCCGCUUUGCAAUAUAUCAUAUAAAAGAAUAUGGAAAUUUAGCGGCGCAAAAUAAUAAAUAUUAUUUUCAAGUAAAAAAAUUUGCAGCCCAUGGCCCCUGCGUCUCAACGACGCGGGAGCCGUAGGUUCAGAGAUUAUUAAAUUUUAACAUGUAGCAAUUAUUUUUAUGGUUUUGUGUCGGUUGUAUUCAAAUUCAUUUAAAUACGACAUAAACCUAUAUAUUUAAGAUUGACUUACAUGAUGAAAUAAUCCGAUCUUCUUUUGUAUAUACAAAAGAAGAACUAUUGGAAAAGCUAAUCGAAGGCAGAGCUAGCUGGUUCUCUCCGAAAUGCGUUUAGGCGCAGCAUAUGGUGAUGGAAUUUUUUUUAGGGUUAAAAGUCAACUAAGACUCAGCCCAAUAAAAUUUAAGAUUUUAUUAAAAUUUAAAUAAAAAAUUAAAUAGAUUGCAAGAAUCUACGACUUAAAUUUCUAAGUGGUGGGAAUUUGCAGCCUAAUAUGUUCGUCUUUUUACCUCCACGCUUUGCAUGGUCCUCUCGCUCGCGAGGGACCAUGCAAAACCCAGUGGAUAGCGGUUAUACCCUCGGGUAUAACCAGCCAUAGAUCGCUUUUGGGUCGUGCCCGCAUUCGAUAUAUUAAUAAUAUAUCGAAUGCGGGGCCAAAGCCAUAUAUAGGCUUUGUCCUUGUAUUCGAAAGCUUUUAAGCUCUCGAAUGAGCGUGAAAUAAAAAACAUAUUAAGUUCAGAGACUAAAAAUUAACAUGUGAAUUUAUUUAUCUAAACCAAAAGCAAUAACUAUUUAAUUUGUAACGCAAAAAUUUAGAUAUAUAAAAUACUCUUGAAAAAUAGUCCGGAUCGCUUUUGGGUCGUGCCCGCAUUCGAUAUAUUAAUAAUAUAUCGAAUGCGGGGCCAAAGCCAUAUAUAGGCUUUGUCCUUGUAUUCGAAAGCUUUUAAGCUCUCGAAUGAGCGUGAAAUAAAAAACAUAUUAAGUUCAGAGACUAAAAAUUAACAUGUGAAUUUAUUUAUCUAAACCAAAAGCAAUAACUAUUUAAUUUGUAACGCAAAAAUUUAGAUAUAUAAAAUACUCUUGAAAAAUAGUCCGAUUGUUUUAAUUAAAAAAUGAACUCAUUAAUCUUGAAUGAGUUUAAAUUAAAACAAUUGAGAGCUCUGAUUUCGUGCGGGCGAUGUGAAUUGUACCAAACGAAAAUAAACUUCGAAUACAAAAAAUACCACCAUAUAGUGGGAGCAAUGAGGAUAAGCGCAUUGCUCGAAAGGGAAACAGCCCGAAUCACUAGUUAAGGCCCCUAAAUGAAUUGCUAAGUGUUAAAGGAAGUGGAAGAUCAAGAGAGUCAGAAAGUACGCUCGGAAGCAGCUAUCUUUUAAAGAGGAAGCGUAAAAGCACACUGACAGAUGCGUCUCAUCGCACCUAAAAUGUAUGGGACUAAGCAAUUUGCCGAAACUGUGAGAGAUUUUUUUUUUAGCGAGAUUUUUUCGAAUUUAAAAGCUAUAGGCUUUAAAAUUCGAAAAAAAAUCAUGAUGCCGCAUCUUUGAUAGUCUUUUACUAUCAAAGAUGCGGCAUGUAGAUCCGUUACAAAACGGAACCGUAAAAUGGAAAAAGAGAGAAAAUCGAUAAUAUAUAAUAUAUUAUAGAUUUAUAAAAGCCCAUAAACUAAAAAUUCUAAAUCUCGGUAGGAGAGCGUUGUGCAGUAUAAUACUACUACCGCAGUGAUGUAUAUAAAACUCCUAAAUACCCCGCUCUGUUGUAUUCACCGUAGAGCGGGGAGUAAAGUUUAUCUCUCUAAAGCUCUUACUCGUAAGAGAAAAAAGAUAGGAUAAAGGAGUAGUUAAUGCACAAGUGAUAAUGUCGACUUGAGUAACGAAAAGGGAGGUGAGAAUCCUACUCCCCGAAAAUCCAAGGUUUUCUUUAUUUUAUAUUUAAAAUAGGCUUGUCCAUAAAGAGUUGACAUAAGCUCCAUCUUUAAGUUAAUGCAGCAUAAAUUAAAGAACGAAAAUCAAAAAAAUUGCGAGAAUCUCCGGCCCCUGGGCCGGAGAAAUUCGCAUCCUUUUUAUUUAUAAAAAGGUUCAGAGACUAUUAAACUUUUGCUUCAUAUAUUCAUGAAGAUGAUAAAGUCCUUAUAGUCUAUAAAUAGACUAGUUUUAAGUAGUCAGCACCUAAGAUGAGGUUGAAAAACGUAGUCGAUUGGUAAUCAAGUUAAUAUUCUUGAACUAAACUGGGUUUCUAAAUAUUGUCGAAGAUUUCUCUAUUUCCUUCACUUGCUACUCUCCCUUACCUUGGGAGAGAAAACAAGAAUAGAAAUAAAGAUUUCUUUUGUGAAAUUUACAAAUUUCUCAUAUCAUUCUUUCAAAUAUAUAGGCCUUUGGCCUAUAUAUCGCGUUGCCCUCUCCCUUAUUAUAUUCUAUAUAAGAAGGGGAGAGUAAAUAAUAGAAUAUAGGUAAUUUCUAUUAGAUGAUAUAUUAAGAAAUUUUAAAUACUAGCCGUACCUAACACAGAAGGACGAAAUUACGUGUCACGAAGUAUUUAAUAGGUUUUUCCAGCACGUAAAUCGGAUUAGUUAAAAAAUAUUCCGAGUUUUCCAAGAAAACUUCUGAGUGAAAUUACAGCUCUUCUUUUGGAGAGAUAAUGAUUCAUGUAGAACAGUUUAGCUGUACCCGAAACUGACACAGGUGGAUAAGUAGAGUAUACUAAGGGGUCUAUCUUAUGGCCCGAUCAUGUUAUAAAUACAUGAAAGAUAGUACGCUCGCGUGGCUUGCUAAUCAAAAAAUUGCAAGAAUUUUAUGAACGAAAUUUUUAUAAAUUUUAAACUUGCAGCCUUAAAAUUUUAUUUUUGGUCUUUUUGAAUAGUGGUCUCCUUGCUUGCAAGGAGACCUCUCAAAACGACGAAGCAAGCGAGUCUUUUUGAAUAUCAAAACACGACGACACAAGCUAGUCUUUUAAGAAUUUUUAGCUCCACGCUUUGCAUUAAAAGGCAAAACGGGCAGUGGAUAUUCAAAAAGACGACACAAGCUGGUCUUUAAGAACUUUUAAGAACUUUUUGGAUAUGAAUUUUUAGGUUUAACGACUAAUAAUUUGACAUCUAAUAGUAUUUUUAUUCAAAACUAAAAAUUAAUGCCAUAUAUAAACCAAAGGUUUAUCUAUGACAUUAAAUAUUGGGAUAUAUAAAAAUAAAAGAUGAUUACAUAGUCUUAUAAGCAAAUAAAAGUUUGCAAUAUAUGCGAGAUAACAAUUUUCAAGGAAUUCGGCAAAUUGACUCUGUACCUUCGGAAGAAAGAGUACCAUACUUGAUCAAAAUACUGUCAAGUUGGUCGCAGUGAAAUGGCUUGGGGGACUGUUUAGGUCUGUGUACUUGAACCGUUAUUAUAAAAAAAUUCUUUUUUUAUAAUUUUGUAAAUUAAACUAAAUGCUGGGAAAUAAUUAAAUAUUAAUACUUAAAUAUCUCGUUUAUUAUAUGUUGUAUUUCUCUCUUCACCUGGGGAGAGAAAUAUUUAACUGACUCACUUUACUAAAUAAUAAAUGUUAUAAUAGUUAAAAAUUUAAUAUAUUCUUUAAAUUUUUAAAGAAUUAAAAUAAUCAGCAUCUCCCUUUAUAGGAUGGGAGGUCAAAGACUACAUGUUUAAUAUUUUUAUUAUUAUAAAGCUUUCUUUGAUUCCGUCUUGACGGAAUCAAAGAAAUCGACGCCCUCUGGGCAAGGCAGCCGGAGGAAAGAAAAAUGGCGGCUUUUAUAAUAAAAAUAAUGAUAUAGUCUGUAAAUUAAACUAAAUGCUGGGAAAUAAUUAAAUAUUAAUACUUAAAUAUCUCGUUUAUUAUAUGUUGUAUUUCUCUCUUCACCUGGGGAGAGAAAUAUUUAACUGACUCACUUUACUAAAUAAUAAAUGUUAUAAUAGUUAAAAAUUUAAUAUAUUCUUUAAAUUUUUAAAGAAUUAAAAUAAUCAGCAUCUCCCUUUAUAGGAUGGGAGGUCAAAGACUACAUGUUUAAUAUUUUUAUUAUUAUAAAGCUUUCUUUGAUUCCGUCUUGACGGAAUCAAAGAAAUCGACGCCCUCUGGGCAAGGCAGCCGGAGGAAAGAAAAAUGGCGGCUUUUAUAAUAAAAAUAAUGAUAUAGUCUGAGCUUUAAUUGUCUUAACAAGCCGGCGGUUAAAGUAAAUAUCAAUUUAAAUAAAAAUUUAUAAAAUUUUAUCCAAUACUUCUAUUUAUGUUAAAAAAUCCUUUUGUUUUAGCCCAAGAAUUGUUUGAUAUCUUUAUAGCUAAUAUGCUUGGAGACGGUUCUUUAGAUGGUUAUGAAGGCGUUUUUAAAAAAACAGCUCGUUUUAUUUAUGCUCAAACCGCACGAGAUCCAAAUAAGGUUUUAUUUAUGGAACAUAUUUAUAGCAAAUAUCAAUCUCUUACUGCCAAAAGAUUUUCACUUCGUACUGUAAUAGCAGAUGGUAUUGAAUAUCAACAGUAUAGAUUUGAAACUAGAAAAUAUAAAGAGUUUUUCCUUAUUUUAAUAUGUUUUAUUACAAAGAUAAAAAUGGUAAAAACAAAAAAUACUUUCUUCAAAUAUUAAAGAUUUUUAAAUGGACGAGUUUUAGCUUAUUGGUUUAUGGAUGAUGGAGGUGCUGCUGAUAUUUCCAAUUCAAGAUCUUUAGAGAUUAGUACUCAUUCUUUUACUUUUGAAGAAACUCUUUAUUUAUGUCGUAUAUUAACCUUCAAAUUUGGGAUUGAGUGUUGGCCUCAAAAAUACUAAACCUGGUAAAAUAUAUUAUAGGCUUUAUAUUAGUGGUAGAAGUUUUUCAACCGUUAUGAAAUUAAUGGGUCCUUAUAUUUUUGAAAGCAUGAAGUAUAAAUUACCUAAAUUACCAGAUAGAGAAUCUCCAACAACUACAGUUGGUCAAAUUUUCGAGGGACGUUUUAAUCGUUUGGUAAAUUUUGAUUUAAAGUCUAAAAGGUGGGAAGUAAAAGAAGUAAUAUGGAAGGAUGAAAUUCGUACUCAACUCGUUGAAGAACGAAUUACUUUUAUAAAAAAAAAUGUUGCGUCUUUGUAUUUUGAAAAAUAUUGUAAUAAAUACAAGGAUACUAUUUAAAUUGAUUUAACAAUUACUGACUAAAAACACAGGUCUCCGCAAAGUUGAAUAAACAAUGUAUGGGGGCUGACGCCUGCCCAGUGUCAGUAGGUUAAGUGCGAGGGUGCAAGCUCUCAAUCGAAGCCCUGUAUCAACGGCGGUCCUAACUCUGAGGAUCCUAAGGUUACACAAUCGCUAGCUUUAGUAAAAUAAAACUAUAUGUUGAGACAUUUUUAAAUUAUCUGUACUAUACUAUAAAUAAUUCUAAACUUGACGCUAUAUAUAUAUGCAAGAGCUAUAUAUAUAGACGCGAAAGCUAUAUAUAUAUAUGCAAGAGCUAUAUAUAGACGCGAAAGCUAUUUAUUAUCUUUCUCCGAAACGGAGAGAGAGCCAACCACGUAGAGUGGGGUACUAAAAGUAAAAAUCAUAUAAUAUAAUUAAAAUAAUCAACAGGAAAAAAAAUCCUUAGAGACUUUAUGUAUUCAUUCCACGUUCUUCGGCCUAUGGUUCUUUGAACGAUGGGUCACAGAACGGGGCAUUAACAAAUUUCUUUAUGGAAAUUUUGUAAGAUAAAGUCCAUAUAUAUAGACGCGAAAGCUAUAUAUAUAUAUGCAAGAGCUAUAUAUAGACGCGAAAGCUAUUUAUUAUCUUUCUCCGAAACGGAGAGAGAGCCAACCACGUAGAGUGGGGUACUAAAAGUAAAAAUCAUAUAAUAUAAUUAAAAUAAUCAACAGGAAAAAAAAUCCUUAGAGACUUUAUGUAUUCAUUCCACGUUCUUCGGCCUAUGGUUCUUUGAACGAUGGGUCACAGAACGGGGCAUUAACAAAUUUCUUUAUGGAAAUUUUGUAAGAUAAAGUCCAGCUAUUUAUGUGAAUAAAUAGAAAAUCUGAGCGAAAUUCAUUGGCACAUAAUUGGUUGUUAUGACAGCCCUGUAGAAUUUUAUAUUUUAUAUGAAUUAAAUAAAUUGCAAGAACUAAUGAAUUAAAUAAUUCGUUACAAUUUGCAGCAAAAUCAUAGCCCCAUGAAAAUAUGGUACUUUGAAUUGUUCAGAGACUAAAAUUAAAAUUGAUAAUUUAAUUUAUUAGUUAUGACAUAGUUCGUGCUACAAUGAAAAUUGUGGGUUACAUGGUCCUGCACAAAUGGCGUAACCAUCCAAGCACUGUCUCGAAAAUUGACUCGGUGAAAUAGACCUGUCCGUGAAGAUGCGGACUCGACAUAUCUAGACGGAAAGACCCUUGAAGCUUUAUUGCAAUUUGAGAUUGAGUUUAAGUUUUUCUUGCGCAGCCUAGGUGGGAGGCGAUGAUGAUUUUUUUCCGGAAAAAUAGUAGCCAACAGUGAGAGACCACUCUGGAAGAAUUUGAACUCUAAAAGUAUAUUACCAAAUCAUCAGGUUACUCUACAGUCUCAAAUGGGUAAUUUAAAUGGGGAAUUUAUUUUUUAAAAGGUAACAAAAAUGUACAAAGGUUUCCUCAAGCUGGAUGGAAAUCAGCUAUUGAGUGUAAAGGCAGAAGGAAGCUUGACUGCGAGAAUGACACUUCAAGCAGGGACGAAAGUCGGUCUUAGUGAUCCGACAAUUUUGAGUGGAAAAGUUGUCGCUCAUCGGCUAAAAGCUACUCUAGGGAUUAACUAUACUGUAAGUCCCAUAUAGUUGUAACCCGUCGCGCUUUAAAAUUUUUGAUUAAAAUUUUUGAUUAAAAUUUUUGAUUUAAUAGCGCGAGUUUUAAAACUAUUUCCACCCUCCGCUUUCUCUUCACCAACCGUGAAAAGAGAUCGGAGCGGGGUAGCAACCAAACCUUUUCCCGUUCCGUAUUAUAUACGGAUAAAAGGUGGGAUGGUCAAGUAAAUUGCAAAAAAACAAUCAUGUAAAUUUGCAUCCAAUUCAAAAGGGAUCAACGACUAAGAUACUUGAAAUCUUUAUAAUAAAGAUAAUGACAUAGUCUGGGGAUCAACGACUAAGAUACUUGAAAUCUUUAUAAUAAAGAUAAUGACAUAGUCUGAACUUUUAUGCUCUUUUAAAAAAGCGUAAAAGAAUGGCCCACCGUCCUCCGGACGGUGAGCCGAUUAACAAUAUUGAACAGGCUAGUUUUGGUCAAGAGACCUUAUCGACACCAAAGUUCGGCACCUCGUGAUGAAUGGGGUCAGUUAAUAACUGUAAAAAAUAAACUAAAUGCUAAAAAAUUUUUGAAUUACAUAUACUUUUUUUACUGCCCCCCCGCUUUGCAUUUUUAAUGCAAAGGGUGGAGCUAAUAUAUUUGAAUAUUAUAUUGUUAAUGUGUUAUUAUAUUUAAUAGCAUGAAAUUUACAAUUCUAUAAAGUAAAAACUAUGUUUUCUGUUAAACAUGCGGAACCAAAAAUAAUUAGCAUCUAACGCUAUUUUAAUAGCGGGAGAUUAACGACUACACGUUUAUUCUAUAUUCAUAUAGAAUGAUAUAGUCUGUUUAAUAGCGGGAGAUUAACGACUACACGUUUAUUCUAUAUUCAUAUAGAAUGAUAUAGUCUGAACUUUUAUAUGGGUGGCUCAGCAAAGCCGAUUAUAAAAGAAAAAAAAAUUUAUUAUAUAUUAUAAUAUAUUAAAAUUAAACAUUAUUGCGAUGUCGUCUCGUCCUAGCUUGGUAAACACUUGCCAAUACUACUCUAUAUGAGUAAUAUAUCUAAUAGCUUAAACGAAAGAAAUCUGGAAAAAAAGAAAUAUCCAGACAAUUUCGUACCAAAAUUCGAAUGAAUUAGGUCUAACGACCAUUAUAUAAAGUAAACUUUAUUUACGAUGCCGCAUCUUAUAAUGGGGAAAAAGAAUCCUGCCAUUUAAUGAAAUCCGCCGGCUGCCUCGCGAGCCCAAAGGGCGUCGAUUUCUUUGAUUCUUUUUUUCCCAAGCUUUUUUAAAAAGCGAAGCGCUUUUUUUAAAAGCGAAGCUAUCAAGGUUUUGAUCUGUCUCUCUUCUCUUAAAAAGAGAGACAGAUCAAAACCUUGACUACGAGCAAAGCAAAGUUUAAAUAGCUAAAUCUCCCCCUCCGGGAGAGAUAAGACAUGGUCUAAACUUCAAAGAAACUUGAAGCAGACAAAUUUAAUGUUUGUCGAAAAAAAUCUUAUUUUUUUGAAUCAUUUGAUUGUAGCAGGUACCAAGAGUAAGACUGUUCGUCUUUUAAAAGGGUUGUUCUCACACAGCCCCCUAGAAUCUUAGAUUUUUUGAAAAUUAAAUAAAUUGCAAAGAAGUUUAAAAUAAAGCCAGUUUGCAGCCUUAUUUAUAUGUUCAUUGAUAUAGACAUGGCCCCCGAAAACGGAGGGCCGUGCGGUAAAAAUUUUGAUAAAUUGACAUAUGAACGAGGUUCAGAGAGUAGAUAUUUAACGUUAUUUUUUAGAUUGACGAUUACAUAGUCCAUGGUUCAAUUAAAGUUGGGCGGCACCAUGACGUGAGAUAAAAUUAACCAGUCUCCUUUAGUUAAUAAAUAAAUUGCAAAGAAGUUUAAAAUAAAGCCAGUUUGCAGCCUUAUUUAUAUGUUCAUUGAUAUAGACAUGGCCCCCGAAAACGGAGGGCCGUGCGGUAAAAAUUUUGAUAAAUUGACAUAUGAACGAGGUUCAGAGAGUAGAUAUUUAACGUUAUUUUUUAGAUUGACGAUUACAUAGUCCAUGGUUCAAUUAAAGUUGGGCGGCACCAUGACGUGAGAUAAAAUUAACCAGUCUCCUUUAGUUAAAAACUAAAAUACUACCCAGGGUAGCCGUCUUUUUAAAGCGAUGGGGAAAAGAAAUCUUCGAUUUCUUUUCCCCAACAAACUAUCAAGGUUUUGAUCUGUAUCUCUUCUCUUAAAAGAAGAGAUACAGAUCAAAACCUUGAUAACGAGCAAAGCGAAGUUUAUUGCAAAAAAACAUGACCCAGGGUCGAUGUAAAUUUGCAGCCAAUAUAAUAUGACCUCUAAAAUUAUAAUAAAAUACGGGAGGUCGUAUUGGUUCAACGACUAAUAUACCUUUAUUCUUUUUUCAAAGAAAAUGACAUAGUCUGAACAUGACCCAGGGUCGAUGUAAAUUUGCAGCCAAUAUAAUAUGACCUCUAAAAUUAUAAUAAAAUACGGGAGGUCGUAUUGGUUCAACGACUAAUAUACCUUUAUUCUUUUUUCAAAGAAAAUGACAUAGUCUGAACUUUUAUGUAAAUAAAAGAAACAAUUUUGGGGUUUAAAACGUCGUGAGACAGUUUGGUCGCUAUCUGAUAUGUCAAAUUGGAAUACAUAGAAGUUUUCUCCCUCGUACGAGAGGAACGGGGCCAACAGGUUUGGUAUUAGCCAAAAGUUAGUCCUUUUGGUGUCUGCAGUGUAUCUUUCUAGCAUGUCCUCGAUAGACUCAUCGUCCUAGGACGGUCUAAAUUUACCAUCCUCUAUAGACCCACCAUUACCAACCGUCCAAAGGACGGUGUUGGCCCACCGUCCAAAAGACGGUGGGCCAUGCAGAGUGGCAUGGCGACAAAAGAUUACUCAGUAAGCCGUGAAAAGUGUCAAUGGUGUACGAGUUAUGGAUUCUUGAAAUCUGUAGUCGCUUGGUAGCUAAACACUUCUCGAUAACCACUGAAGACAUCUUAAAGUGGGAAGCGUCCUUCGA